AGAGUUUGAUCCUGGCUCAGAUUGAACGCUGGCGGCAUGCCUAACACAUGCAAGUCGAACGGUAACAGGUCUAAUACAUCCUUCGGGGUGUUGUGGCGCUGACGAGUGGCGGACGGGUGAGUAAUGCUUAGGAAUCUACCCAGUAGUGGGGGACAACCCGGGGAAACUCGGGCUAAUACCGCAUACGUCCUACGGGAGAAAGUGGGGGAUCUUCGGACCUCACGCUAUUGGAUGAGCCUAAGUCGGAUUAGCUUGUUGGUGGGGUAAUGGCCUACCAAGGCGACGAUCCGUAGCUGGUCUGAGAGGACGAUCAGCCACACUGGGACUGAGACACGGCCCAGACUCCUACGGGAGGCAGCAGUGGGGAAUAUUGGACAAUGGGGGCAACCCUGAUCCAGCAAUGCCGCGUGUGUGAAGAAGGCCUGCGGGUUGUAAAGCACUUUCAGUAGAGAAGAAAAGCCUGGGGUUAAUAACUCCGGGUCUUGACGUAACCUACAGAAGAAGCACCGGCUAACUCCGUGCCAGCAGCCGCGGUAAUACGGAGGGUGCGAGCGUUAAUCGGAGUUACUGGGCGUAAAGCGCGCGUAGGCGGCUUGGUCAGUCGGAUGUGAAAGCCCCGGGCUUAACCUGGGAAUUGCAUUCGAUACUGCCAAACUAGAGUAUGGGAGAGGGAAGCGGAAUUUCCGGUGUAGCGGUGAAAUGCGUAGAUAUCGGAAGGAACACCAGUGGCGAAGGCGGCUUCCUGGCCCAAUACUGACGCUCAUGUGCGAAAGCGUGGGUAGCGA
Molecule: ribosomal RNA, 785 nt
Filed under: uncultured bacterium
Lineage: Bacteria
Description: bacterial SSU rRNA
Rfam family: Bacterial small subunit ribosomal RNA
Source: RNAcentral